This is a long non-coding RNA of Scylla paramamosain (green mud crab), 3525 nucleotides long. RefSeq lists it as uncharacterized. The transcript is spliced from 6 exons. NCBI's taxonomy places the organism in Eukaryota, Metazoa, Arthropoda, Malacostraca, Decapoda, Portunidae. The record is from RefSeq and is a predicted model, not a curated record.
CCCAACCGGCGCAUCUCACAACUCUUAGUUUGCGCAGCCUCCGUCCGCACCCUCGCCCGCCAGCCUCGACGCUCGCCUCGCCUUCCGCCUGCCUCUCCUCUCUCCUUUUUAUCCUCUGGUUGCUCCUUCUCCUCGGCGCCGCACUACAAGACACCAAAAGUAAGGACAGGAUGGUGGAGGGCGCUGGUGGAGGGCGGUGGAUGGGCGUACCGGUGGCUGGCAGCUACGGAUCCGAACGAGUAACCGGCAAGUUGUAUGGCGGGGAGAUUAUAAUAAUAGCGGGUUUCCAUGGCAACCUCUGGCCACGCCAUCUCCUGCUGGUAUAAAAAGGCAGCUUGGAGCAUCGACCUCACACACACGGGCAACCGCUGACCCAGGCUCCACUCCGCCCUCCUCCUCCUUCUCCUCCUCCUCUUCCUCUCUCUCCUCCGGCAUCCCUCGACGUCUGGAGCGACCUUGCACCCUCGGAAGCCUCCCCGCAGCAAGACUUCGCCUCCCCCGAGCCUGAAGACUCUGCGGCGGCCCCGGAAGCUUCCCUUCAAAACCUGAGUCGUUUCCAGCCUGAGCCGCAGACCCCAGCUGCCUGGACAAACACAGGCAGCCUCACGCCCCUUCAUUAGCCUGGGUGACUGGCGGAGACCUGCCUUGGCUUGACUCAGCCGUGCUUCGCCGCCGCCCGACCUGCCCGCCACCACCACCAUCAUCACCAGCCUCCUCUGAAAACCUAUCACUGCCAGAAAACUGUAGUUGCAAAAGUUUCACGGUUCCCCCUUUUUUCCGCCCUGGCCGGGGACCCUCAAAAAACUGUCCAGUGAGAGGCGGAGCAGCACAGUUGAGAUACAGAACCACACGGUAAGCAUUCCCUAUUGUGUUCCUCGGCUGAAGGAAACUUGCCAUGAUGGUUUCUUGCAUCUUUCGCUGCUAUUUUUGUCAAACUUUUGUGUGGCACUGAAUCAUCUGGUUUGAUCCAAAGCCUUUAGAAACAAAACAUAUCAGCACUUUUUUACGCUGUUCUCUGAAGGAUUUUUGAAGUUUCUGUAUUUAUCUAUUUUUUUAUGCAUGAAUUGCUGUGCUUUGCUAUUUUUUACGUGAAGUAAGCAGUAAACGCUUUAAGAAACUUUGCAAAAUAUACAUAUAAACAAUGUAAACGAAAAAGGAGUGUGCGAGCGCGAGUCCGCCUCCCAGCCGCCCUCCGACCAACUGGAACCAAUUAGCGGUCUCCUCUGGAAUUGCCUGGAAUCAAUUUGUGGCGGUGAUCAUUGUGGACAUGUGUGGCGGGGCGGCGGCUGGGUCAAUGUGCUGCUCUUGAUCACCACGCACACUUUACGAGCCGCCGCUGGCCGCCUUCCAGGGUCCGGCCAGCCACGUGACUCCUUCCCCGCCCCGGCCUAGCCCCGCCCACACCCUCCCCGCGGGGCUACUUCCACACCCGACUGCAGUUUUGGCCACUCCUGUUAGCUUAUUUAGUCCAUCGCCCGGACCCGAGGCUGAGGGCGAGUGAGGGAGCCGCCAAGGCCUCACCACAGCUGCCGCCGCCACGUUUUGAGUGUGGCGGCGCCGCGAGAGACGGGGUGACGCCAGCAGCGGUCGCCAGCCUGUCUGCCAGGUCGCCGUUCUCGCUCCGCCGGGAAUCAUUACCCGAGGCGAUCACCGACCCUUGACGGGGCGUGACAGCUGUCGUGGUGGUGGUGGGCAGGCGGAGCAAACCCACACCACGCACACCAACACUCACGUCACCCACAACAACUAUCACAACUAUAAAAAAAACAGCCACAUCACCAGCAGCAGCACCAACAAUUACCACACCACCAGCAUCACCAGCAACAACUACAACAGCAACCACCACCACCACCACCACCACCACCACCACCACCACCACUACCAUCACUACCACCACCACAUCAAAGCGUAGAGCAACACUGCCCGCGUGUCCCUAACCCGCGAAAGAGCAAGACUCGGUCACAGACGGAGAUGGGCAAGGCGCGAAGGGCAGGAGGCGGGGUCGUGUUGACAGGCGUGUGGCGGCACCGCUCGCUCAGAGACACGAGGCCCGAGGGCGAUGCUGCCUGAUUACCAAAUCCCUCGUCGCUGUCAAGUCGCGGCAUGACAUGACCCACGCAGGGGUCGCCGCCACCCAGAGCCGCUGGGACCACGCUGUUCGCCGCCUGACGCAAGGAGAGGAGAGGAGAGAGCGAGAGGGGGAGGACCGCCAAACCGGGGGAAGGAGGGAGGGCGGCGUGACGAGGGCCGCCAACACCACCACCACCAUCACCACCACCACCACCACCACCACCUCCACCAUCACCACCACCACCACCACCACCGCCGCCGCCGCUGCCACCACCAUCCGUACAGCCGCCACACGGGGGCGCGGCCAGUUGGUUUCUGCGGCAGAGAGAGAGAGGGAGAGAGAGAGAGAAAACACGCGAGGUGUUCGCCCAGGUGGAGGAGGUGGAGGAAGAGGAGGAGGAACAGCAGCAGCAUGGAGGAAAGUGGAGGAGGAAGAGCGGUAGAGGAGGAGUAGAAGCAGGAAAGCGAAGAAGGUGUGACUGCCGGUGUGACCCAACCCAUCACCCAGCCAGCCAGCCAAGCCAACCUCUCCCUCUCUCUCCCACUCUCUCUCUCCAGCCCCACUACCAAGAGGCUCCAAUCGCUUAUAUACUGCAUCCCAGGCCAGCAGCAGCAGCAGCAGCAGCAGCCCUCGCAGUCAGGCAGAGAGGAGGGCCGGCCAGUUAGCCAGCCGGACGCACACCGCCGACAGGGAAGCAGGCAGCCAAUCAUCCGCCGUGUCCCGUGUGAGCAAACCCUCCUCCAGGCAGUCACCCAUGCAGCCAAGCGGGGAAACGCAGCCAAACAAUCACCCAGCCAUCCGGAAAGAGUCAUCCAAUCAUGCAGCGAACUACCAUCACCGUCACCACCAUCACCACCAUCACCUUACUCACUCACUCACUCACUCGGGGACUCUUCGCCCACCGCAGCUCCUCAAUACGUCCUCAAACGUCGACCUUCAUAGCAACCUCUCAGUCAGUCGUGGAGAAAGAGGAGGAAGAUGGAGGCACUUAUGGACCUAAAAAUGAGGUAGGAGGAGGAGGAGGAGGAGGAGGAGGAGGAGGAGACUACGUGGUUGGUCUAAUUUUCCUAGUAACGGUUGAGUUGUGUGAUAAUAAAAAGUUAGUCAAAUAUUUUCCUCCUCUUUUCCUCUUCCUAAUGUUUCUUUUUUUCCCCUCUGAUCUUCCUUAAUUUUCUACUUGUUUUUUACUGUUCUUUUAAUUUUUACUUUAUUUUUUUCUUUCCAGUUUUCCAAUUUUUCCUCUUCCUGUUUUUUUCUUUUCUUAUUUUCUUAGUUUUCUGUCUUCUCUUCCUUCUGUUUUUUUUUCUUUCCAUUUAUCAUCCCAGUCAUUUUUAUUCAUUUUUUUUUUCCUUUUAUAAGUUAAGUCUCUUCUUCUUCUUCUCAGCUUACUUCUUAUUUUUUUUAUUCUUUUUUUUCUUUCCCAUCCUACGUUCCCUGCUUCAAUUUUUCCUCUU